Long non-coding RNA from Magnolia sinica, 433 nucleotides. RefSeq lists it as uncharacterized. Lineage: Eukaryota; Viridiplantae; Streptophyta; Magnoliopsida; Magnoliales; Magnoliaceae. The transcript has 3 exons. The record is from RefSeq and is a predicted model, not a curated record.
CAUUCAACAGGAGGGUGCUAUUCAUGCGGCUUUUUCGGAGGCCAUCAGGCCCAGGUUCCAGCACUCCGGAGCAGCCCUUAUGGGAAGAAAGUCCCUUUAAGCAACAGCCUGAAGAAGUAAUUUAUGCUGUUUCAGGAAGUUCUGCAAGCGGAAGCCUCCCAAGAAGGAAGCUAAGAAAGAAGCAAUUGCUCCCAAGGCAUCUUCUUCUAGAGGAAAUCUAAGGAUGGAGCUGAAGAUGGUUCAAAGAAGAGAAAACGAAAGAAGAAAAAGGAUCCUAAUGCACCAAAGAGAGCUAUUUCUGCUUUCAUGUUCUUCUCACAAGCCGAAAGAGAUGCAAGUUGUUUUUGGUAUGCCAUGCUGGUUUUUGCUUCUUGUUGCCUCUAAAAGUUUUUGGUAUGCCAAGUGCUUUUCUAUUGUGUAGACUUGCCUUCUG